RNAcentral lists this long non-coding RNA (358 nucleotides) under Rosa chinensis. Its description in RNAcentral is "sRNA RchiOBHm_Chr1g0372881". Lineage: Eukaryota; Viridiplantae; Streptophyta; Magnoliopsida; Rosales; Rosaceae. The record is from RNAcentral.
GGCGGACGUCCGCACAGAUGCAAAAGUGCGGACGUCCAUCCUCAUGUAUCGAUCAGGCGUUGAUGGCGGCGUUUUUGUUGCUGGAAGAAAACUCUGGACAUCCUGGAUGACAUCUCCAUCAAGGCGAAUGCGAAGGCGAUCGAAUUCUCAGAGAUGCGCAGCGAGCUCGCCUGAAACCAUGGAAACACCAUCAAGGUCGACUUCGAACUCUUCAUCGACGAGUCCAACAACAAGAAGAGGCUCGACAUCGAGGCCUAGUUUUAACCGGCAAGAGCAGCACCGCCCAUCAAUGCUUGAUGCAGCUGUAAGGACGAACGUCUGCUUUUGACUGUGUGUGUGUGUAUAACCAUGGGCGUAG